GACGUCAAGUCAUCAUGGCCCUUACGGCCUGGGCUACACACGUGCUACAAUGGUCGGUACAAAGGGUUGCCAAGCCGCGAGGUGGAGCUAAUCCCAUAAAGCCGAUCGUAGUCCGGAUCGCAGUCUGCAACUCGACUGCGUGAAGUCGGAAUCGCUAGUAAUCGUGAAUCAGAAUGUCACGGUGAAUACGUUCCCGGGCCUUGUACACACCGCCCGUCACACCAUGGGAGUGGGUUGCUCCAGAAGUAGCUAGUCUAACCUUCGGGAGGACGGUUACCACGGAGUGAUUCAUGACUGGGGUGAAGUCGUAACAAGGUAGCCGUAGGGGAACCUGCGGCUGGAUCACCUCCUUAA
Molecule: ribosomal RNA, 354 nt
Filed under: Gammaproteobacteria bacterium
Lineage: Bacteria; Pseudomonadati; Pseudomonadota; Gammaproteobacteria
Description: bacterial SSU rRNA
Rfam family: Bacterial small subunit ribosomal RNA
Source: RNAcentral